CACCGCCCGUCACAUCAUGAAAGCCGGUUGUACCCGAAGCCCAUGUAGAAACCGCAAGGAUCUAGUGGCCGAAGGUAUGGCUGGUGAUUGGGAGUG
This 96-nucleotide ribosomal RNA is filed under the name uncultured bacterium. RNAcentral's name for it is "partial 16S ribosomal RNA". It matches the Rfam family "Bacterial small subunit ribosomal RNA", at positions 1388 to 1482 of the family's 1533-position model. The record is from RNAcentral.